This 406-nucleotide ribosomal RNA is filed under the name Artema atlanta. RNAcentral's name for it is "partial 16S ribosomal RNA". It matches the Rfam family "Bacterial large subunit ribosomal RNA", at positions 1859 to 2597 of the family's 2925-position model. The record is from RNAcentral. Lineage: Eukaryota; Metazoa; Arthropoda; Arachnida; Araneae; Pholcidae.
CUGCUCAAUUCCAUUAUAGUAAAUAGCCGCAGUUUCACUGUGCUAAGGUAGCAUAAUAAUUAGCCCUCUAAUUAAGGGAUAGAAUGAAUGGUUAGACGAGGUUACGACUAUCUAACUUAAAACAAGAUAAACUAACACAUCAGUAAAAAUACUGAUAUUACAAAGCAGGACGACAAGACCCUGCUAGAACUCACCAUUUAGCUGGGGCGGCUCAACCAAAAAAACCUUGAUAAACAAUUACAAACAAAAACCUAAUAAAAUUAAUAUUAGUUACCUCAGGGAUAACAGCGCAAUUUCCUUCAAAAGCUCCAAUUAAAAAGGAAGAUUACGACCUCGAUGUUGAAUUAAUAACCUAAUCUUAGCGCAAAAGCAGAUAUAAGGUGGUCUGUUCGACCAUUAAACAAUU